Molecule: ribosomal RNA, 468 nt
Filed under: uncultured bacterium
Lineage: Bacteria
Description: partial 16S ribosomal RNA
Rfam family: Bacterial small subunit ribosomal RNA
Source: RNAcentral
GACGAACGCUGGCGGCGUGCUUAACACAUGCAAGUCGAACGGAAAGGCCCUGCUUUUGUGGGGUGCUCGAGUGGCGAACGGGUGAGUAACACGUGAGUAACCUGCCCUUGACUUUGGGACAACUUCAGGAAACUGGGGCUAAUACCGGAUAGGAGCUCCUGCUGCAUGGUGGGGGUUGGAAAGUUUCGGCGGUUGGGGAUGGACUCGCGGCUUAUCAGCUUGUUGGUGGGGUAGUGGCUUACCAAGGCUUUGACGGGUAGCCGGCCUGAGAGGGUGACCGGCCACAUUGGGACUGAGAUACGGCCCAGACUCCUACGGGAGGCAGCGGUGGGGAAUAUUGCACAAUGGGCGGAAGCCUGAUGCAGCAACGCCGCGUGCGGGAUGACGGCCUUCGGGUUGUAAACCGCUUUCGCCUGUGACGAAGCGUGAGUGACGGUAAUGGGUAAAGAAGCACCGGCUAACUACGUG